GUCGAGCUUAGUAACGUGGGCUUGUGAUCCAAGUGGAAACAUUAAGUUGGUGGGACUUUGGACCAAUUUGUGUGGACCUCAUAGUUGCGAGGUUAUAUAUGCUACGUUGCCCAAUUCUAAAUUGGCUUUGCCAGUGUCUUCUGCGCUACGAGAGGACCGAUCAAGCUGGUUUCAAUUUGGACUAUCAUCUUU
RNAcentral lists this non-coding RNA (192 nucleotides) under Brassica napus (rape). Lineage: Eukaryota; Viridiplantae; Streptophyta; Magnoliopsida; Brassicales; Brassicaceae. The record is from RNAcentral.